Molecule: non-coding RNA, 315 nt
Organism: Vicia faba (fava bean)
Lineage: Eukaryota; Viridiplantae; Streptophyta; Magnoliopsida; Fabales; Fabaceae
Source: the annotation of a GenBank genome assembly
AUGACACUCAAUAGAUAUGACAGCAACAAAAGAAAAGUAGUUGGCCUACUUUGUUGUCAUAAGCCGCCAGUUGUUUUCUACCAAUGCUGGUUCGUAGUUGGCCUACUUUGUUGUCAUAAGCCGCCAGUUGUUUUCUACCAAUGCUGGUUCGUGCUAUUCACCGUUAUCAACAAAUUGAAAAAUCCUAAUUCAAACAUUUCUAGUACGCGUGUGCACAUGAUAAAUCGAAUUCAAGAUAGUAUUAAUUCAAAGAUUUCUAGACGCGGAAAAAAUUUUACUCAUUUUUUAAAAACAUUAAAGGUGUACUUAAAUUAG